Grus americana (Whooping crane) is the source of this 5433-nucleotide long non-coding RNA. RefSeq lists it as uncharacterized. The record is from RefSeq and is a predicted model, not a curated record. The transcript is spliced from 3 exons. NCBI's taxonomy places the organism in Eukaryota, Metazoa, Chordata, Aves, Gruiformes, Gruidae.
UCCCAAACUGCUGUUACCUUUCUAAGCUUACUUUAUAUAUCAAGCAGCACCCUUUUAGGGUCACUUAAAGCCAUAUGCAUUGGGCAAGGAUACUAAUGACACAUACUUCUAAGCAGCUCAUACUACCAAAAUAUCAGUGAAAAGAAACAAAUGGAGAAUUUCCAGUGAAGUGGAAAGUGUUCAAUUUUUUGUAAAAGGUUUACCCACAAAAUAGAGAAAAAGGUACUGUUAGCUAUGCAUCUGCUUUUAGCUUCGUGUCGGCAGCAUUUUUUCCUCUGGCUAGAAUAUUUUGGUAGCAGAAAUAGAUGUUAAAUAGGUAAGGGGGAAAAAAAGCCCUGCAAAAACCUCCACUUCAAGCAUAUGUCUGUACACCAAGGAAGAGAAGAAUCUUCCCAAUUUUCAGUGAUUUCACCGUAAAUACAUACACAAACACAGACUAAGAGACUUGGUUCUCUCCCUCCCCCUAAAUCUUGGUAAGUACACUCUGCAGUUGUUUAAAAGUUACUGAAUUUGCCUCUUCCUAAUAUAAAUACUAGAAAUGCUAGAUCCAGCAAGAAACCCUCCUAAGAGCUAUAGAUGCAGCAUGGCUUUUCUGAUUGUCCACAACUCGGUCAUUAUCUGGCAUAAGGGGAAAAUGGGAGAAAAAGAGAAGGCAGGUGGGGGAUUCUGGCAGAAAUCUGGGAAACUUAGUAUUUCUAGAUGGUCCUUCCUGCUUGGAGUAGCUCCCCAAACCACCUGCUCAUUCUUGCAUGAUUUUAACCUUUCUCAGACUAGUAUUUUUCAAACAUCCAGCCAAAUGAAUGCUUAGCAGACAACAAAUAACAAAUAGUUUAUAGAUUAAUAGGAGUAAAAUACUAAUUUUCAAGGCAACCCCUCAUCCCUACCCCCAACUCAAAAUAAAAAUCUGUUCCUGUGAUUCCCAUCAGUUAUCUGCACUAAUUUAAACCAUAAGAGUAUUUGGUUACCUGGUCCACUACAAAACACAGAAAGAUAGGAAUAGCCUAAGAAAAUGAAUUAGUUAUAUCGCUUCCCUUGCAGCAGCUGUUUGUACUGGCAAAAAGCUCUCUCAUUCUAAGCCUACGGGCACAUCUGAAGCUCAGAAAUAAAAAAAAGUUAAUCUACAGUAAGAAUGUCUACAUGAGCACCACUGACAAAGUCCCACAGGCCAUCCUGUUUGCUUUUGUGUGUAAGAGUUAAUUAAUGAGGCUACUUUAUAGCAAUGAGCUCAAAAACUAUCAAAUACAAAAAGAACAUUUAACAGCUAUCAGAGCUAAGGGCAAAACUGCCACAUCUCUCUAGGGUAAAGAAUUUUUCACGUGUUUGCCAUAAGCUUAUUAUCUUUUCACAUUCCUCCAAACCAGAGUAUAUUGAUGCGUCCAGUGCUAAGCAGCCCAUCCAAUAUCACUGGCCUGAAAACAUUCUUCCCAUGCAUCUCUACUCAACCACCUCUUUCUCCUGGGAGAAGGAUCUGGUACGUUUUUUUGAAAGACUGAAGACUGGCAUUUGUAGUCAGCCCAGCUAAGGGUUUUUUAAGUAAAGCUAAACUUAAUUAAUCCUAAAAGUCAGUCACAUGGGAAGAAGCCUUCCUGAAUCCUGAGGGAUUUUGCAACCACAAACCAGAUCCUCAUAUCGACUCCACAUUAUCCUGUGUGGGAGUUGUAUACCCAAGUUAACUGAUGCAUAACAGUUAUUCCUAUCAUCUCCUCCAUUCACACGUAAUUACUCAUGAAUAUAUUCUUGUAUUGGAUUCUUUAAGAAGACAUCAAUUCUGUGAACUGCAGAAGUAGACAGGACCCAUUUUCAGUGCAAUAUUUUUAAUCACUUGGAUGCUAGGCUACACUUGCCAUUUCUGUUGAAAGACCUUACAAAGUAAUUUGAUUCAUCCCUCAGGUAGCAUAAGCACAUUACACUCUCAAAGUCUGUGACUUUGCUGCAAAUGACUCAGUGGAUGGGACUUCCUCCCUUGCUUUGGGAAAGGAGGAUCCAAAGCAUAGUAGAUUCACUGUCAAAAGGUUGCUCUUGCAAAGAACUUAAACUUCUCUUCUGAUGGCAAAGUAGUGAUCCUAGCUCUGCCCUCGAUAACAACUCCUCUUCUUUUAGUAUUUCCUGCUCCUCUUACAGGCAUAAAUCAGUGCUGAGAAGAACCUGCAUUUGCAGCUUGUAUCCAGAGGUAGCUGCUGUACUUUUUUUUUAUCUUGGAGCUGUAAACAACACAAAGCAAAGCAAAACCACUCAAAGCAAAAUGUUGCCCACUUCUUGGAUGGCUGAACAGUCCAGGAUCAUCCCAGGCAUUACUUAUCUCUCUGGAAGACAUUCAAGAUCUAAAGCAUUUCACUUCGUAAGUCUCUUUGGUGAAGCAGCUGUGGCUUAUUCUUGAGGAUACAUGGGCAACAGUACUACUACAGACCUUUAACAGUGUACACACUGGACUAAGGAAAUUUGUUUUACAAGCUGUAGAAGAAAACAAGGGUGUUAAUGAAUGUGGAUAAGCUGGACUAUACAGACAUGGUGAUGAAUUCCAACUAAAAACUAUACACGAUUUCCUUGGAAAUCAUGUCAAGCCAAAUACUGCAAUUACCAAGAAGAAACAAUAAACCAUGUCCAUUUGGCAUUGUGAAUAUCAGUAAAAUGUAGAGUGAAGAGAAUUUACAGUGUGAUGGCUGGGAGAAGCUUACUCCAGCAGGUUCUGAACAAGAUCCAUUUACCUGUGCCUUCACACCUAAACUUAUUUCUUUCAUUAAUGAACACUACUGAAAAGGACACAUUUCAAAACUGCUAUGAUCUUUGUCUCCUGCUCCUCACACAGCAUUUAAGGUGGGGAAGUGAGCAACAUAGCUGCACAGUCACAGAAGGAAUCAACAGCAGAGCUGGGAGCAUCACAUCGGAGUUCAGGUUUUUCACCCUUGGCUUUAACAACUCAACCCUCAGCUCUCCCCCUUGCUCGGUGACAAAUGUCACAAGACCUGAAGCCAGCAGCCUGCGCUGAGACAGAAAACAAAAGUAUGAGCUAACUAUUUCAAGUACCAGAAAUCCAUAUAUACACUUAGUGGGAUAAAACGGAGCACAACGGGACCUUCCACGGCAUUGCCUGUGUUUGAGUGAGCCUCUCGCUGCCCGCAAGCAGAGGGCUACUCGCAGGCACGACAGAGGCUACGUAAGGCAAAUCAAAGCAACCAUUCAGCAGGACGCAGCAGCUUUGCCACAGCCCGGAGGUUACUGUCCUGACGCCUGGACACUUGAUUUACUCAUCACAAUAGUCCAAUAUGAAGGUUACCCUGAACUUCAUGAUGCAGCGGGCUAAAACUCCGAUUGCUUUGCUCCAAUAACCUGCCACUUGAGCUAAAGGAAUUUAAAGGAAUUAUUUCUUUUCCUGUUAGCCUCACAACAGGACUGUUCUGGUCUAUCUGACAGAGGGCAGUAUUACACAAAACCAUGAGCUUGUUGAUUAUAAUAUAAUUUUACAAGCAAUUGCUUUAUUUAAGCAAUUGCCAAGAAAAAGCUUUAGAUUUGGUAGGAAUUAAUAGUUGUGAAAAACAGUAAAAUCUAAACGAAGCAAGCUUUAAAUAUUGAUUAAUUUUUGCUACAAUUAAUAGCACUCAGUAAUGUUUCUCAGACCAUAUAUGAAAUAAGAAAACUGAACUGAGCAUAAGAUCAUUGGUUCUUACUGGUGAAAGAAAAGCUAUCUUCUUUUUAUCCCUCUGCAAGCACAGGAAACAUAUCUUGGGUAAGUUAAAUGAAAUAAGUAAAUGAAAUAAUAACUCCAUGCUGGAGAUCUGAACAUAUCCUAUCGUUUCCCUCUUCUGGUAACUCUUAGCUUCAACAGAUAAGCCUUAUAUUGUUCUCCUGUGAGAAAAGUUCAGAGAUUUCAUCAUCUCAUUUUCCCUGUAGAACAAAUGAAUUCCUGUAAAACAACUGGGAUUUUAGAUAGGCUAAAAGUACGUGUAAGCAUGCUUUUUGUGCUGUCCUGAACGCUAUCUGCAAGGAAACUGGCUGCCCCUUCGUCCACUAACUUGAGCUGAUCCACUGAUGCCAGCUGAUGCAUCCUAACACACUGAGGCCUUCUGUGCCACUAACACAGCUACUUCAUUCAGCAAGAACAGAAUUAAGGAUACUGGGGAAUGCACCACUGUACAAGCCAGAGGAUGUUUUUUCUAUAUAGUGUUUCAAGUCUAAGCAGACACCUGAGAACUCAGCUUGUUUUCUUCUGCCUUAUGCAUUGUUGCCUAUUUACGAUGCAUAUGGCAGAAGACACUCCAGAUGCGUUUCCAGAAUUGUGUUCAAGUUAUACAAGUAAACGUCAGCAAAACAUUUUUUACCAGCAUCAGUAAAGAGGCAGACAUCACACAGUAACAAAGAGAAGACUGACUCCAUAGAGUGAAGAUGCGCUACCUUUAGAAACCUUAAGUACAUCCUACAUUUUUGUCUCCUAACCACAAAUGAACUAUGGACUGUAGGUUUUAGAAAUAAAUUCACAUAGUUAUCAUUUCAGUUGCAUGUGCACAGUGAUAUUCUUUUCCAAGGGCUGCGUUUUAUAAAAAGACCUAGGUAAGCCUGCACCCUGUGUAGCAUUUCCUGGCGCCUACAGCACAGAUAACAGGAGUUCUUACUCUAAAGACGUCAGCGUGCACAUACAAAUCUCCUAAAAAGCUGUUUAAGAAGUCAGUUUAGCAUUAUGCCAGUAAACCAUUCCUAAGAGUGAAAUGAUAAGAGAGUUUGAAAACUUUCCAGCUGCAAAAUUUGUCUUUCUUAAGGAACUGUGCGGACAUCCUGCGACUUCCAGCCCAAAGCCUCGGGGUGACACUCAGAACGUCAUUCAAAGCUUGGUGCCCCUUUGUGGACCCCCCCUUGGGCAGGUGGGGAGGGAAGGAGGGGAAGGGGAGGGGAAGAGGGACAACAGAGCGGUGGGGAGCUGAACACCAGCUUACGAACAGAGAACAGAAUCACAUAACAACACUGGACCAAUGGACUCCAAGACACACUGACAAGACAGAUGGACACAGACAAGACGUAAGAUCGCUACUGAGAAAUAAAAAAAAGAGCAAAAAAACCCAUAAAAUAAAGUAGAUCUAUAACGCUGAGGCUGCAAGAAGCAGCUGACAGUACUGGCAUAACUCUUCCAAAAAGACGAAAUUAUAAUACAACUAAAAAAUUAAAAUUGAAACGAUAUCCCCCCAAAUCAUACACUACGGACUUGCUCGGUUAGCCUGAAUGCGUAGCUCUGAUGAAACACAAGACGGCGUCAUCACAGCCCAUGCACGGAUUAAUGAAGGCCAUGGUUAGUUAAAUCAGCUAAACUACAGCAUGCCAUAAAAAUGAUCUUGCACUGACCCAGAAAUAAAAGAUACGACAGAUACUCUGCAUUGCAAUAAAAUUCUUUUUAUGCCAUCUGUGGUUUGUAGGGCUUUCUUUGUUGGAAGAAUUUUUCCUGGGAGA